This 405-nucleotide ribosomal RNA is filed under the name uncultured bacterium. RNAcentral describes it as "bacterial SSU rRNA". It matches the Rfam family "Bacterial small subunit ribosomal RNA", at positions 335 to 755 of the family's 1533-position model. The record is from RNAcentral.
ACUCCUACGGGAGGCAGCAGUCGAGAAUUUUCACAAUGGGGAAGCCAUCGAUGGAGCGACGCCGCGUGGAGGAUGAAGGCCCUUGGGUCGUAAACUCCUGUCAUAAGAGAACAAGAAAGUGAUAGUAUCUUAAGAGGAAGAGACGGCUAACUCUGUGCCAGCAGCCGCGGUAAUACAGAGGUCUCAAGCGUUGUUCGGAUUCAUUGGGCGUAAAGGGUGCGCAGGCUGCGUGGUAAGUCGAAUGUGAAAUUUAGGGGCUCAACCCCUAAACUGCAUCUGAUACUGCCAUGCUAGAGGACUGUAGAGGAGAUUGGAAUUCACGGUGUAGCAGUGAAAUGCGUAGAUAUCGUGAGGAAGACCAGUGGCGAAGGCGAAUCUCUGGGCAGGUCCUGACGCUCAUGCACG